UUACGGCCAUAUCACGUUUAACACCGGUUCUCGUACGAUCACUGAUGUUAAGCAACGUCAAGCCUGUUCAGUACCUAGAGAGGUGACCGCUUAGGAAUACCAGAUGCUGUAAG
Acanthosepion pharaonis is the source of this 113-nucleotide non-coding RNA. NCBI's taxonomy places the organism in Eukaryota, Metazoa, Mollusca, Cephalopoda, Sepiida, Sepiidae. The record is from the annotation of a GenBank genome assembly.